This is an RNA transcript of Macadamia integrifolia, 5346 nucleotides long. It is a transcript of the gene named disease resistance protein RPV1-like, with no coding region annotated. Lineage: Eukaryota; Viridiplantae; Streptophyta; Magnoliopsida; Proteales; Proteaceae. The record is from RefSeq and is a predicted model, not a curated record. The transcript is spliced from 5 exons.
GGAUUGAAAAUAGGCUCAAAAAAAAGAUUCUGCAAAGUAAGUAGCACUAUGGCUUUUGGGUCAUCGGGAGUCGGGACCUUUUACUUUUAAAAAGAAUUCGAUUCGCCGAGUUUUUAAGGACAACCGAAAGCCAUUCUUGAGAGACAACGACGAAGAUCAUUUUGCAGAGCCCCUCACUCAAGGAUCCCGAAAUCCCCGAUUCCCAAUGGCCAACAAGAGAAUUCGAGAAGCCGCCAUUUGCUGCUCGUCAUUUUCGAUCUCUCGAUGGAAUCACGAUGUCUUCUUGAGUACUUACAGUCAAGAUCCGAGCAACAAAAUCAUCAUCGAAGGCAUCUACGAUGCUUUGGUCCAGAAAGGAGUUCGCACCUUGAAAGGCGACGACGAUGAACACAAGCAGCAGCGAGGAGGAGAGAAAGCAUUAAUUGAAGAAUCGAGGAUCGCUAUAGUCCUUUUAUCAAGAAAAUACGUUUCUUCGAUGUGGCGUCUGGAUGAACUAGUGAAGAUAGUUGAAUGCAGAAGCUGGACUGGUCUAACUGUUUUGCCUGUUUUCUGUGAUGUGGAUCCGUCGGAUGUACGAAAACAGACCGGUUGUUUGGAGGAAGCGUUAGCGAGACAUGGCCGGGAGGGUUUCGAAGAGAAGUUGGAGAGGUGGAGGGCAGCUCUUACCACAGUGGCUAACCUUUCUGGUUGGGAUCUGCAUAACAUUUCUAAUGGGCAUGAGGCAAAAUUUAUCGAAACAAUUGUUGAUGCUGUUGUUUUGAUUAAACGAAGUCGAACACCAUUGAACAUCUCUAGUUAUCUCAUUGGAAUAGAUUCCCGUGUCGCAACGUUGAUGAGUUCAAAAUGUUCAAUUCGUUCUCCAUCAGAAGUACAUAUCAUAGGGAUUUGUGGUAUCAGUGGAAUAGGCAAGACAACCAUUGCGAAAGCUGUAUAUAAUGAAAUUUGUCAUAGAUUUGAAGGUUACAGUUUUCUUGAGAAUGUUAGAGAAGUUUCACAACAACACAAUGGUCUAAUUAGUUUACAAGAACAACUCCUUUCUGAUGUCCUUAUGAAGAAAAACUUGAAGAUAAACAACGUUGAUAGAGGAAUAAAUGUGAUCAAACAGAGGCUUCACUGCAAAAGGGUUCUUAUUGUUAUUGAUGAUGUAGAUCAUUCUGAGCAAUUAAAUGCAUUGGCUGUCAAGUAUGAUUCAUUUGGUGUGGGAAGUAUGAUCAUUGUCAUAUCAAGGGAUAAACAUUUGCUAAACGAGGUUGAAGCGUGUCACAUUUAUCAUCCUGAAGAGUUAGACUCUCGUGAAUCUCUUCAACUUUUCAGUUGGCAUGCAUUCAAGAGUGAUGGUCCACCUGAUGAUUAUAAGGAGGUGUCCAAGGAGAUAGUCAGUAAUGUCAAAGGACUUCCAUUAGCUCUUGAGGUCAUAGGAUCUACAAUGUUUGGCAAAAGAAGUUUAUCUGAAUGGGAGAAUGUAUUAGCCAAACUAAAAAGUACUCCUGAUUAUCAAAUUCAAAAAAAACUUAGAUUAAGUUUUUAUGAUUUGGAUGACAUAGAGAAGGAUAUUUUCCUUGAUAUAGCAUGCUUCUUUAUUGGAAUGGACGAAAGCUAUGUAUCUAAAAUACUAGAUGGAUGCAACUUGUUUCCAGUUAUCGGAAUCAGCGUUCUCAUUCAAAGAUCUCUUAUUACAAUUGAUGAAAAGAAGAAACUAAGGAUGCAUGAUCUUCUUCGAGAGACGGCAAAAGAAAUUGUUCGUGAAGAAUCUCCUAAACAACCUGGAAGACGUACAAGAUUAUGGUCAAGAGAGGAUGUUUGUGAUGUAUUGGCGAAACAUAAGGGAACCAAAUCUAUUGAAGGCAUCACCCUAAAGAUUUCUCAACUUGAAGAUGUGUGUUUUAAUACUGAAGCAUUUGUAGAUGUACAUAAUCUAAGACUGCUUCAACUCAAUAAUGUACGCCUAAGGGGAGGAUAUGAACAUCUCUCUAAGAAACUAAGAUGGCUUUGUUGGCAUGGAUUCCCUUUGAAUUCUAUACCUACCAAUUUUCACAUGGAGAAUCUUAUUGUUCUUCACAUGGAAAAUAGCAGUGUUAAAGAGGUUUGGAAGGAAAUCAAGCUGCUCAAAAGGUUGAAAAUCCUGAACCUUAGUCACUCGAGUUACUUGAGGAAAACCCCCAACUUCUCAGGAGUCCCCAAUCUUGAGGAACUGGUCCUUGAACAUUGUAAAAGUCUUGUUGAGGUUCACGGAUCCAUUGGGUAUCUUGAAAAGCUUAUAGUCUUGAAUUUGAAAAAUUGCAAUAACCUUAUGAAGCUUCCAGAAAGCAUUGGUAUGUUGAGAUCUCUUGAAGAGCUCAAUCUCCAUGGUUGCUCGAAACCAGUGCAACGAUCUACUUAUUGGUUUUCUUCAUUCCCCCAAUAUCUCGGUUCACUAAGAAGACAGCAUGCUUCUACCAAUUUGCUUCCUUCUUCUUUCUCUGGUUUAUGCUCUUUGAAAUCAUUAAAUCUCAAUUAUUGCAAUCUGUCAGAAGAUAUGAUUCCCAAUGAUUUCUGGAGCUUGCCAUGGUUGAGGGUGUUAAGAAUGGACAGGAACAGAUUUUGCACCCUACCAGCCAACAUCAGACAUCUUCCUCAUCUUGAAGAUCUUACACUGAGAGAUUGUAGAGAUCUCAAACUAAUAAUGACAGAGCUUCCGCCAAUUUUAAGAUAUUUGGAUGUAGCAGGUUGCUCAACAAUGGAAAUAUUACCAUCCAACAUCAGCAAUCUCUCUCGACUUAGGCAUCUUAUUUUGAAUGGAUGUAAGAGGCUACAAUCAUUGCCAGAGCUUCCACCAUGCUUGGAGGUGUUGGAGGCAAAUGAUUGUGCAUCUUUGCAAGGAGUAGACGUUGAGGGCUUAGAGUACUUAAAAGAGUUAGUUAUCGAUUAUGAUCACUUCUGUAGUAAAUCGGAUGAAAUAUGUUGCCUUCCUAAUCUUGAGAUGCUAACUUUGGAAGGCUGUGGUAGGCCUCAAAUACUGCCAAAGCUUCCAUCAAGUUUAGAUACCUUGUUUGUAGAUGGUGACAUAUCGAAUUUGCUAGUCAAUUGCAGGGAGAUCCAGAGCAUGGAAACUUGUCAUCAAUCUGUACAAGGCGUCCACAUGGAAGGGUACUGCCACCAUCUGGGGAACACUUUGAGGAAGAAUAGCUUCUUCCAUCUCCAGGAUCACUUUGAAAUAUGGGGUAGUGGGAGUGAAAUUCCGGAAUGGAUAAGCCAUCAAAAUAUGGGGUCUUCAAUAUCCUUUGAGGUAUCUGAUGAUGACUACUGUUCAAGUUGUCAGAUCCAAGGGUUGGAUGUAUCUGCUGUUUUUUCAGUUGAGAAAUUCACCGUUCACUUGCGUUCUCACACUGUCAUUUGUAAUAAAACUAAAGGUAUUCGAUGGAGGUCCUUUUUUGUUAAUUGGCAACGCACAAGUCCACUUCCACUAGGUCAAGAUUUAUUGUGGGUGCGCCAUAUUACAAUUCCUGAACUUUGGGGUUUCUCAGGACGCGAAGCUGUUUUUGGCGAUCACUUUGAAGUGGGGGAUCAGGUGGAGGUUUCAGUAGAUAUUGAGGCUUAUUAUCCUAGUGGAAGUUUGCAAGUGAAGAAGUGUGGAGUCCUUCUGGUCCACAGGCCACAUGAGAAGAACCUAUCAGAUGAUCAAUCAAUGGCAGAAUACAUGUCUGCUUCAGAUGAUGAUGAUGAUGUCGUUUUCAAUGGAGAAGAAUCAGUAUUGGUUCACCUUAAAGAUGAUGAGAAUAAAAUCAGUGGCCAUAAUAUUGAGGGCAUCGCAGAAAAUGGCAUUGAUGCCAAAAGGUUGAGGAUUGGGCUGUAAUUAUUGCAACAUAUAUAUAUUAGUUGCCAUUUCCCAUAUAUAUAUAUGGAACACAUACAAGCCCAUUGCAGAGGCCAAUUCAUUUGCAAGCUGGAUGAUACUCAGCUUGUACUAUCUUCCCCAUGAAGGCGCAUGGCAUGUAUCAGAAAGGACUCAAAAUGACAAUUAAAUCAGCACAUAAAAUGUAAUACAUCAUUCCAAUCGGUGAAUUUAUUCAAAAGCAAGAAUGGUUUUAUGGCUUUAAAACUUGACCUUAGCAAUGCUUAUUGAUAAAGUUGAAUGGGUUUUUCUUGAAAUUGUCUUCACUAAAUUUGGAUUUAGUUCUACUUGGAUUUAUUGGAUUAUGCAAUGUAUUACUGCUGUACCUUUCCAUGAGAAGCUUAUUGAAUCCCUUUCAGACCCCUUUACAUCUCAUAGGGGACUCCAUCAAGGAUGCCCCUUAGGCCUUAUCCAUUCAUUCUUUUCCAAGAGGCUUUAUCCUCAUAUUUUUCAAGAACUGAACACCUUAAAAUCAUUUGGGGGAUUAAACCUUGUAGAGAUGGCCCUUCGAUUUCCCAUUUUCUUUUUGCCGAUGAUUUUUAUUUUUUUCUACGGCUAGGAGAUUUGAGGGACAGACCUUUAUUCAACUUAUUGGGAACUAUUGUUUGGUAUCAGGCCAAAGUCUCAAUAUGAGCAAAUCAAAUGUUUGGUUUAGCCCUUGUAUUCCCAUUUCUGUCCAAAGAGAAAUCUUUAUGACUAUAGGUUUCCAACCUGUCACAAAUUUGGGUAAGUAUUUAAGGAUCCCUAUGAAAUUUGGCCAAUCCAAAAAUGCUUUAUUUCUUCACAUUGCUGAAAGGGUUCAAUCCAAAUUAGCAGGGUGGAAAGAGAAUUUAUUAUCUGCUGUCGGGAAAUAAAUUCUGGUUAAGUCAGUUGCUUCAGUUGCGACUGCUUUUCCUACAUACUUGAUGUGUAUAUUUCUUUUCCCCAUUGAUUAGUCCAAAGAUUUGAACUAAAUCAUUAGGAAUUAUUGGUGAAAAGAUAAAAAUUGAAAAGAGGUCUGUUGGGAACAACUUUGCAAAAGUAAAAGGGUACUAGGUCUUGAAUUUAGGGAUUUUGAAUGCUUUAAUAAAGCUCUACUUGCUUGGCAACGUUGGAGAAUCUUGCUUAGUAGUGACUACCCCCAAACAUAGUUGCUCUUUUCUUGAGGCCACUCCUAAGCAUAACUGCUCUUGGAAGGUGGAGAUGUUUACUUGGUGGAAGGGAGGUUUUGGUUAAGGGCUUAAGAAGACAUAAUGGUAAUGGUCUAGUAUCCAUUCCCAUCAUUCUGUGAAUGUCGUUGCUGAUCUCAUUCAUCAGCCCUAUAAACAAUGGAAUAUACCUCUUAUUCAUGCUUUGUUCUCUCCUGCUGAUGCUGCUUCCAUUGCUCAAAUUCCCUUUGCACAACUAGUGAGGAGGAUUGUUGGCUUUGGAGUUUCACUAAUACUGGUUUGUUCUCAGUAAAAUCUCCUUAUUGUUGCUCUUUGACUCAUUCAAGU